Molecule: long non-coding RNA, 836 nt
Organism: Homo sapiens (human)
Lineage: Eukaryota; Metazoa; Chordata; Mammalia; Primates; Hominidae
Product: long intergenic non-protein coding RNA 1320
Source: Ensembl
GGGAAGGGACAAAUAAGGGAAUAAAACUGGCCACCCCAGCCGGCAGUGGCAACCCACUUGGGUGCCGUGAAAGCUUUGUUCUUUCGGUCUUCACAGUAGAUCUUGCUGCUGCUCACUUUUUGGGUCUGUGCCAUCUUUAAGAGUUGUAACACUCACCUCAAAGGUCUGCAGCUCCAUUCUUGAAGUCAAGGAGACCACGAACCCCCCAGAAGGAACCAACUCUGGACACAAAAGGAAAGGAAUAGCAGUUAUGUCUCAGGGUUUUUUGAGGAUCAAACUGGAAAAUGCUGUCAACUAUAGUUAUUAGUAUACAGUAUAAUGAAGAAUCUUGAGGUCCUCCUGGAUUACCAAAGUGGGCCCUAAAUCCAGUGGCAGAAGACACAGACACAGAGAGGAGACCAGGUGAAGACAAAAGAAGAGGCUGGAGUGAUGCAACCAUCAGAGAGUGAAAAUACUCAGUUACCUCCUGGUUUAUGAGGCAAUGAAGUAUUCCAGCACAUAAAUAUUGACGCUGAGACCCAUGGGAUGUAGGAGUGCUGAGCACAUUUGCAAGACAUAAAGACCGAAGUGCUGCAAAGGAUAACCUGUGCACGUGUAUCAGUAUAGAAUAAAUUAUUUGACAUGGAGUUGCUGCAUUUUAAAAACAGAUAUUGCCAGAUUACCCCAUAUGAAGAAUGCAUUGGAUUUCCGCUUGUACCAGCAAUGUGUGAGAGUCACUGUUCCCCUUUCCCUUAAAAGCAUGGAGUGUUAUCAAACAUUUUAAUCUUUAUCAAUCCGAUAGUUGCAAAAUAGUAUACCAGUACAGUUAUCUUUAAUUAUAACUAAGAUAUAUUGGU